RNAcentral lists this ribosomal RNA (1246 nucleotides) under metagenome. RNAcentral describes it as "bacterial LSU rRNA". It matches the Rfam family "Bacterial large subunit ribosomal RNA", at positions 1564 to 2822 of the family's 2925-position model. The record is from RNAcentral.
UGAUGGGGAAGCCCUUCGGGGCGAAGUAGCUGAUUUCACACUGUCAAGAAAAGCUUCUAUCGAGUUUAAAGGCGCCCGUACCGUAAACCGACACAGGUGGGUGAGGAGAGUAUCCUAAGGCCAGCGAGAGAACUAUUGUUAAGGAACUCGGCAAAAUGACCCCGUAACUUAGGGAGAAGGGGUGCCUGUCUAUGACAGGCCGCAGAGAAUAGGCCCAAGCGACUGUUUACCAAAAACACAGGUUUCUGCUAAGUCGCAAGACGAUGUAUAGGAGCUGACGCCUGCCCGGUGCUGGAAGGUUAAGGGGAUCUGUUAGAGCAAUCGAAGCAGUGAACUUAAGCCCCAGUAAACGGCGGCCGUAACUAUAACGGUCCUAAGGUAGCGAAAUUCCUUGUCGGGUAAGUUCCGACCCGCACGAAAGGCGUAACGAUUUGGGCACUGUCUCAACAAUAGACUCGGUGAAAUUGUAAUCCCGGUGAAGAUGCCGGGUACCUGCGACAGGACGGAAAGACCCCAUGGAGCUUUACUGUAGCUUGACGUUGGGUCUUGGUACUACAUGUACAGGAUAGGUGGGAGACUAUGAAGCAUGGACGCCAGUCUGUGUGGAGUCAUCCUUGGGAUACCACCCUUGUAGUACUGGGAUCCUAACCAUAGGCCUUGAAUCAGGUCUUGGAACACCGUCAGGUGGGCAGUUUGACUGGGGCGGUCGCCUCCUAAAAAGUAACGGAGGCGCUCAAAGGUUUCCUCAGCACGGUCGGAAAUCGUGCGAAGAGUGUAAAGGCAAAAGGAAGCUUGAUUGCAAGACAUACAGGUCGAGCAAGGACGAAAGUCGGACUUAGUGAUCCGGUGGUACCGCAUGGAAGGGCCAUCGCUCAACGGAUAAAAGCUACCCUGGGGAUAACAGGCUUAUCUCCCCCAAGAGUCCACAUCGACGGGGAGGUUUGGCACCUCGAUGUCGGCUCAUCACAUCCUGGGGCUGUAGUAGGUCCCAAGGGUUGGGCUGUUCGCCCAUUAAAGUGGUACGCGAGCUGGGUUCAGAACGUCGUGAGACAGUUCGGUCCCUAUCCGUCGCAGGCGUAGGAAAUUUGAGAAGACCUGUCCUUAGUACGAGAGGACCGGGAUGGACGUACCUCUGGUGUGCCAGUUGUUCUGCCAAGGGCAUGGCUGGGUAGCUAUGUACGGAAUGGAUAAGCGCUGAAAGCAUCUAAGCGCGAAGCCAACUUCAAGAUAAGAUUUCCCACCGUAA